UGGGGAAUAUUGGACAAUGGGCGAAAGCCUGAUCCAGCCAUGCCGCGUGAGUGAUGAAGGCCUUAGGGUUGUAAAGCUCUUUUACCAGGGAUGAUAAUGACAGUACCUGGAGAAUAAGCCCCGGCUAACUCCGUGCCAGCAGCCGCGGUAAUACGGAGGGGGCAAGCGUUGUACGGAUUUACUGGGCGUAAAGGGCGCGUAGGCGGACGAUCAAGUCAGAGGUGAAAGGCCCGGGCUCAACCUGGGACGUGCCUUUGAAACUGAUUGUCUUGAGUGCGGAAGAGGGUGACGGAAUUCCCAGUGUAGAGGUGAAAUUCGUAGAUAUUGGGAAGAACACCGGUGGCGAAGGCGGUCACCUGGUCCGCAACUGACGCUGAGGCGCGAAAGCGUGGGGAGCAAACAGGAUUAGAUACCCCGGUAGUCC
RNAcentral lists this ribosomal RNA (424 nucleotides) under uncultured prokaryote. RNAcentral describes it as "bacterial SSU rRNA". It matches the Rfam family "Bacterial small subunit ribosomal RNA", at positions 355 to 796 of the family's 1533-position model. The record is from RNAcentral.